GCGUUACAAAGUCUUUCUCGGUAUGGCACCUGUUACUUUUGUAGCAACAUUUAGCAGUGGGACUCCACAACAUUCGGAAAUGAGUCCGGUCAAUAAAAAAUAGGAAUGUUAUAUGCCUGUUCAUUGCCAUCUGAUUCUGAAAUAUAGGCCGAUAUUGUCAACUAUAUGUGUCUGAGUGAGAAUGGUCUUGGAGGAGGGGAUAAAACUGUUCCAAAGCAGUAGUUGACCUACUGAGGAGAUCAGCUGAGGGAACAUGAUAACUAAGAAGAAAAUUCCAACCAUUCAUUUUCACACAGCUUUCCCCUCUCCCUUUGACAUCCUGACAAAGCUCCCUUUCUUGUAGUGAGGCACUGCACUGCAAAGCAGAUGCAAAUAAGGCUGCAAAGUUCAUUGAAGAUCAUUGCAGAUGCCACAAGCUCCAGAAAGUAGACGUUUGAUGCUACUGCUGACAGGGGUGUAUGGAGUGUACACAAGGGUGUAUUUGUCAUGAACAUGCAAAAAUGUUCAUCAUGGGUAAUGUGAGAAAAGCAUUUGCUACUUCAAAACAUGUAUCAGACUACAACUGAGGACCUCACUAUUAUGAUACAGUAAAGAGAAACCUUGUGGAACACCAUACUUUUAGAAAUACACUAAAUAUUAGGAGAAAUGCAUUUUGAACCCAAGCAUGUGGAGUAACUGUAACAUAAAUAAACUGUCAGAAAAAUCCAGCAAGGAACAGAAACGAAAUCGUAUAAAAUACAAUUGAACUUUGAAUUAAAUUAAGUUGAUGAAGAUCUAAUGCUUACUUGGGCAAUAGAUACAUUUUCCAUUUAAUCUUGUAAUAUGAAAAACAUUUGUCAGUAAAAUCCAGGCCAACAUUAGCUAGUUUAAUCCAUUGCUGUCUGAACUCAUCUGAACAUCUGAUUUAGUGGCCUCAGCUAUGUUUGCAUUACUCAUCAGUGAGACAUAGAGGGAGCUACAGACAAUGUUUAAACAUCCAGAAGAUCUCGUUUUGCAGGACCCCUCUAAAAACAUAACAUGCUUUCUUGCUUCCUGCUAAUUUCCGGCCGGAGACAACUUAACAUGUCGGCCUGGUAUGGUAUGAUAAAGUGUCGUAUUAAUGGAACAUUCAUAAAUGAAGAUUAUCAACAAUGGACACUGAACAUGUGUCCUACUAGAUAUAGACACACCAUAGAUGGUGCUUUGGUCCCAGGGUGGACUAAUAAUUCUGAAAGUGAAAGGCAUUAAGUAGAACUUCUUGAUUAUUUGUUUAUUAGUCUGCAAAUCAAAUCAGAGUACACAACAUUUGCAGUGUUACAAUUGGUGAAAUAAUCUGUAAAAUACCAACU
Long non-coding RNA from Alosa alosa (allis shad), 1328 nucleotides. RefSeq lists it as uncharacterized. The record is from RefSeq and is a predicted model, not a curated record. The transcript is spliced from 3 exons. NCBI's taxonomy places the organism in Eukaryota, Metazoa, Chordata, Actinopteri, Clupeiformes, Clupeidae.